UAACGAGUUGGAAACGACUGCUAAUACCGCAUAUGACACCAUUAUGGCAUCGAGAAGGUGUUAAAAGGUCCGUUUGGAUCGCUAAAAGAUGAGGAUGCGGCGUAUUAGCUAGUAGGUAGGGUAAUGGCUUACCUAGGCGAUGAUACGUAGCCGAACUGAGAGGUUGAUCGGCCACAUUGGGACUGAGAUACGGCCCAG
Molecule: ribosomal RNA, 198 nt
Filed under: uncultured bacterium
Lineage: Bacteria
Description: partial 16S ribosomal RNA
Rfam family: Bacterial small subunit ribosomal RNA
Source: RNAcentral